AUUGAACGCUGGCGGCAUGCCUUACACAUGCAAGUCGAACGGCAGCACGGGAGCAAUCCUGGUGGCGAGUGGCGAACGGGUGAGUAAUAUAUCGGAACGUGCCCGGUCGUGGGGGAUAACGUAGCGAAAGCUACGCUAAUACCGGCAUACGAUCUACGGAUGAAAGCGGGGGAUCGCAAGACCUCGCGCGAUUGGAGCGGCCGAUAUCAGAUUAGGUAGUUGGUGAGGUAAAGGCUCACCAAGCCGACGAUCUGUAGCUGGUCUGAGAGGACGACCAGCCACACUGGGACUGAGACACGGCCCAGACUCCUACGGGAGGCAGCAGUGGGAAUUUUGGACAAUGGGCGCAAGCCUGAUCCAGCAAAUGCCGCGUGCAGGAUCGGAAA
Molecule: ribosomal RNA, 386 nt
Filed under: uncultured bacterium
Lineage: Bacteria
Description: bacterial SSU rRNA
Rfam family: Bacterial small subunit ribosomal RNA
Source: RNAcentral